RNAcentral lists this ribosomal RNA (328 nucleotides) under uncultured eukaryote. Its description in RNAcentral is "partial 18S ribosomal RNA". It matches the Rfam family "Eukaryotic small subunit ribosomal RNA", at positions 1470 to 1796 of the family's 1831-position model. The record is from RNAcentral.
CCCUUAGAUGUUCUGGGCCGCACGCGCGCUACACUGACGAUGGCAACGAGUUUUUCCUUCGCCGAAAGGUGUGGUAAUCUUUUGAAACAUCGUCGUGCUGGGGAUAGAUCAUUGCAAUUUUUGAUCUUGAACGAGGAAUUCCUAGUAAGCGCGAGUCAUCAGCUCGCGUUGAUUACGUCCCUGCCCUUUGUACACACCGCCCGUCGCUACUACCGAUUGAAUGGUUUAGUGAGGACUCCUGAUUGGCGCCGCCGCCCCGGCAACGGAGCAGCGGACUGCCGAAAAGUUGUUCAAACUUGAUCAUUUAGAGGAAGUAAAAGUCGUAACA